This 303-nucleotide ribosomal RNA is filed under the name uncultured bacterium. RNAcentral describes it as "partial 16S ribosomal RNA". It matches the Rfam family "Bacterial small subunit ribosomal RNA", at positions 507 to 807 of the family's 1533-position model. The record is from RNAcentral.
AGCAGUCGCCGCGGUAACACGAAGGGUGCAAGCGUUACUCGGAAUUACUGGGCGUAAAGCGUGCGUAGGUGGUGGUUUAAGUCCGUUGUGAAAGCCCUGGGCUCAACCUGGGAAUUGCAGUGGAUACUGGCUCGCUAGAGUGUGUCAGAGGAUGGUGGAAUUCCCGGUGUAGCGGUGAAAUGCGUAGAGAUCGGGAGGAACAUCAGUGGCGAAGGCGGCCAUCUGGGACAACACUGACGCUGAGGCACGAAAGCGUGGGGAGCAAACAGGAUUAGAUACCCGAGUAGUCCCUGUCUCUUAUAC